GGCGGCGUAGCUCAGGUGGCUAGAGCACGCGGCUCAUACCCGCGGGGUCGGAGGUUCGACUCCUCCCGCCGCCACCA
This 77-nucleotide transfer RNA is filed under the name Aquificota bacterium. Its description in RNAcentral is "tRNA-Met". It matches the Rfam family "tRNA". Rfam says of the family: Transfer RNA (tRNA) molecules are approximately 80 nucleotides in length. Their secondary structure includes four short double-helical elements and three loops (D, anti-codon, and T loops). The record is from RNAcentral. Lineage: Bacteria; Pseudomonadati; Aquificota.